RNAcentral lists this ribosomal RNA (504 nucleotides) under uncultured bacterium. Its description in RNAcentral is "partial 16S ribosomal RNA". It matches the Rfam family "Bacterial small subunit ribosomal RNA", at positions 30 to 523 of the family's 1533-position model. The record is from RNAcentral.
AUUGAACGCUGGCGGCAGGCCUAACACAUGCAAGUCGAGCGGUAGCACAGAGAGCUUGCUCUCGGGUGACGAGCGGCGGACGGGUGAGUAAUGUCUGGGAAACUGCCUGAUGGAGGGGGAUAACUACUGGAAACGGUAGCUAAUACCGCCUAACGUCGCAAGACCAAAGAGGGGGACCUUCGGGCCUCUUGACAUCAGAUGUGCCCAGAUGGGAUUAGCUAGUAGGUGGGGUAACGGCUCACCUAGGCGACGAUCCCUAGCUGGUCUGAGAGGAUGACCAGACACACUGGAACUGAGACACGGUCCAGACUCCUACGGGAGGCAGCAGUGGGGAAUAUUGGAAAAUGGGCGCAAGCCUGAUGCAGCCAUGCCGCGUGUAUGAAGAAGGCCUUCGGGUUGUAAAGUACUUUCAGCGGGGAGGAAGGCGGUGAGGUUAAUAACCUCAUCGAUUGACGUUACCCGCAGAAGAAGCACCGGCUAACUCCGUGCCAGCCGCCGCCGUAA